This 708-nucleotide long non-coding RNA is filed under the name Ananas comosus (pineapple). Its description in RNAcentral is "long non-coding RNA (ACOM_LNC043689)". Lineage: Eukaryota; Viridiplantae; Streptophyta; Magnoliopsida; Poales; Bromeliaceae. The record is from RNAcentral.
GUCAACUAGGAUGGAACAACAUCGACAUCCUCUCAAACAAAUGCAAAUACUGCUCGAUGGAUCAACUAAAGUAUAGAUGCAAGAAUCAACCAAUAAGUCACAGGAAUGUGUAAUCUAGAACUACCGUCAGCCACUAGCCGACAAUCCUACCCCUCUCAGGGUACACCGAUCUCAAAGGUCAUCAAACGACAGAAGUCAAGGAACCGACCGACUAGGUCACCGAUCUCACAGGAAAUCACGAAACCGCUCUACCCUAAACAUGAAACAGGAUAUGCAGAAUAGCUAAGUAGAGCAACAAGAAAACAUGGUAUCACAUACCGAUAGACUAUACUCCUACACAUGAUACUAAACAUGAAAACGUCUGAGUAGAGUAUAAUCAAACAACAUGGGUGUAAUGUGAACAAUAGAGGUGCAAAGCUCAACAUAUAAUAUAUAUAUGGAUAAUAACAAAAGUGCAAGGGUAAGAAACCAUCACCGAGCAUGCACCACUGUACCAACGUCGGAUCGAAGUACCCACCUGUACGAAUGUCGCGUCUGUCUCCUGAUUGCGAAAGAAUGUCAACCGGACCUACAGAGGGUCCACCGGGUUAGUAUCUAACCCACAACUAAUAACCACUAAAUCCACAACCCAAAAACCCGUAUCGUUAACUCACAAUCCCAAAAUCAUAGCCCCUCGGGAAUCGGUUUUCCAAAACCAAUUACCGAACA